CCGAUCGCCCCGUCGGGGAUCGGCAAAGUCCAAAGGGGCGUCGGCUCUUUGGGCGCCCCUCGUACCAUGUUGCUCAAUGGAGGAUGUGGCUAUGAGAG
Molecule: small RNA, 98 nt
Filed under: Nitrobacter winogradskyi Nb-255
Lineage: Bacteria; Pseudomonadati; Pseudomonadota; Alphaproteobacteria; Hyphomicrobiales; Nitrobacteraceae
Description: Repression of heat shock gene expression (ROSE) element
Rfam family: Repression of heat shock gene expression (ROSE) element
About the family: This family represents a 5' UTR cis-regulatory element found in heat shock mRNAs and is known as the ROSE (repression of heat shock gene expression) element. The ROSE element is a negative regulator of heat shock gene expression. The secondary structure is thought to be regulated by temperature.
Source: Rfam by way of RNAcentral